RNAcentral lists this ribosomal RNA (409 nucleotides) under uncultured bacterium. RNAcentral's name for it is "bacterial SSU rRNA". It matches the Rfam family "Bacterial small subunit ribosomal RNA", at positions 28 to 409 of the family's 1533-position model. The record is from RNAcentral.
GAUGAACGCUGGCGGCGUGCUUAACACAUGCAAGUCGAACGAGAGGACAAGAGAAGCUUGCUUCUUUUGGGAUCGAGUGGCAAACGGGUGAGUAACACGUAAACAACCUGCCUUCAGGAUGGGGACAACAGACGGAAACGACUGCUAAUACCGAAUACGCUUGGGAGACCGCAUGAUCUUCCAAGGAAAGGGUGGCCUCUACCUGUAAGCUAUCGCCUGAAGAGGGGUUUGCGUCUGAUUAGGCAGUUGGUGAGGUAACGGCCCACCAAACCUACGAUCAGUAGCCGGUCUGAGAGGAUGAACGGCCACACUGGAACUGAGACACGGGUCCAGACUCCUACGGGAGGCAGCAGUGGGGAAUCUUCCGCAAUGGGACGAAAGCCUGACGGAGCAACGCCGCGUGAGUGAU